This 239-nucleotide ribosomal RNA is filed under the name uncultured bacterium. RNAcentral describes it as "partial 16S ribosomal RNA". It matches the Rfam family "Bacterial small subunit ribosomal RNA", at positions 15 to 236 of the family's 1533-position model. The record is from RNAcentral.
GAUCCUGGCUCAGGAUGAACGCUGGCGGCGUGCUUAACACAUGCAAGUCGAACGAAGCACUUAAGAUUGACUCUUCGGAUGAUUUCUUUUGUGACUUAGUGGCGGACGGGUGAGUAACGCGUGGGUAACCUGCCUCACACAGGGGGAUAACAGUUAGAAAUGACUGCUAAUACCGCAUAACCCGAUAGGAUCGCAUGGUCCAGACGGAAAAGAUUUAUCGGUGUGAGAUGGACCCGCGU